UACGUAGGGUGCGAGCGUUGUCCGGAAUUAUUGGGCGUAAAGGGCUCGUAGGCGGUUUGUCGCGUCGGGAGUGAAAACACACAGCUUAACUGUGUGCUUGCUUCCGAUACGGGCAGACUAGAGGUAUGCAGGGGAGACUGGAAUUCCUGGUGUAGCGGUGAAAUGCGCAGAUAUCAGGAGGAACACCGGUGGCGAAGGCGGGUCUCUGGGCAAUAACUGACGCUGAGGAGCGAAAGCGUGGGGAGCGAACAGG
Molecule: ribosomal RNA, 253 nt
Filed under: uncultured bacterium
Lineage: Bacteria
Description: partial 16S ribosomal RNA
Rfam family: Bacterial small subunit ribosomal RNA
Source: RNAcentral